Mesocricetus auratus (golden hamster) is the source of this 226-nucleotide long non-coding RNA. RefSeq lists it as uncharacterized. The transcript is spliced from 3 exons. NCBI's taxonomy places the organism in Eukaryota, Metazoa, Chordata, Mammalia, Rodentia, Cricetidae. The record is from RefSeq and is a predicted model, not a curated record.
UCUACCAUCUAUUGUUCAAGUCUAUUGCCCGAGUGACUUGAUGAGCAGCUUCCCUCAUCACACGGUCCCACCAUCGCGUUGCUGCCUUGUCACAGCCCAAAGCAAUGGACACAGAUGACCUAGUACUGCAUCCCUGAAAUGUGGAUGGAGAUAAGAUCUCUCAGCUCACUGCUCCUGUCACCCUAGUCACCAAAUACCUGCAGUGGCCUCUCCCUCAUGAAGCGUA